RNAcentral lists this ribosomal RNA (167 nucleotides) under uncultured bacterium. RNAcentral describes it as "partial 16S ribosomal RNA". It matches the Rfam family "Bacterial small subunit ribosomal RNA", at positions 1334 to 1500 of the family's 1533-position model. The record is from RNAcentral.
GCUAGUAAUCGCGGAUCAGAAUGCCGCGGUGAAUACGUUCCCGGGUCUUGUACACACCGCCCGUCACACCAUGGGAGUCGGAAAUGCCCGAAGUCGGUGACCCAACUGAGAAGAGGGAGCCGCCGAAGGCAGGUCCGGUAACUGGGGUGAAGUCGUAACAAGGUAAC